CGGGUGAGUAACACGUGGAUAACCUACCUAUAUGACUGGGAUAACUUCGGGAAACCGGAGCUAAUACCGGAUAAUAUAUUGAACCGCAUGGUUCAAUAGUGAAAGACGGUUUUGCUGUCACUUAUAGAUGGAUCCGCGCCGCAUUAGCUAGUUGGUAAGGUAACGGCUUACCAAGGCAACGAUGCGUAGCCGACCUGAGAGGGUGAUCGGCCACACUGGAACUGAGACACGGUCCAGACUCCUACGGGAGGCAGCAGAU
Molecule: ribosomal RNA, 259 nt
Filed under: uncultured Staphylococcus sp.
Lineage: Bacteria; Bacillati; Bacillota; Bacilli; Caryophanales; Staphylococcaceae
Description: partial 16S ribosomal RNA
Rfam family: Bacterial small subunit ribosomal RNA
Source: RNAcentral